Molecule: long non-coding RNA, 3100 nt
Filed under: Athene cunicularia (burrowing owl)
Lineage: Eukaryota; Metazoa; Chordata; Aves; Strigiformes; Strigidae
Description: lncRNA (ENSACUG00000014406.1)
Source: RNAcentral
ACGACGCUCGCUGCUGGUCACCUUCAGAAGACGGGACAUGGGCUGGAGAGAGCCUCGCACUCAAGACCUUGGUCAGUUCUCGGGACCGAAGAUGUUUGGGUUCUCGGCUCUUUUGCUCCUCUGCAGCCUGAUGACCCCUUCACAAGGAUUCAUAAUCAGGCCCUCGGCUGCCAAAGCGGGUGUCGAUGAUCUUAAAGGUUCACAAGCCAAACUUGACCUCCAGAAGGUUCAAAGUGGUUGUGGCAAGAAUCUGCUCGGUGGUCUCCUUGGAAAAGAUAAUCCUCUAGACGGAGUCCUCGGCAAAAAUGGUGUCCUUGGUGGUCUCCUCGGUGGAGAUGGUGCUGUUGGUGGUCUUCUUGGUGGAGGUAGUCUCCUUGGCCUAGAUGGUGUCCUUGGUGGUCUCCUCGGUGAAGAUGGUGCUGUUGGCAGUCUCCUUGGUGAAGACGGUGUCCUUGGUGGUCUCCUGGGCAGAGAUGGUGCUGUUGGCGGUCUCCUUGGUGAAGACGGUGUCCUUGGUGGUCUCCUUGGAGGAGAUGGUGCUGUUGGCAGUCUCCUUGGUGAAGAUGGUGUCCUUGGUGGUCUCCUCGGAGGAGAUGGUGCUGUUGGCAGUCUCCUUGGCAGAGAUGGUGUCCUUGGUGGUCUCCUGGGCAGAGAUGGUGUUGUUGGCGGUCUCCUUGGUGAAGAUGGUGUCCUUGGUGGUCUCCUUGGAGGAGAUGGUGUCCUCGGUGGUCUCCUUGACAAAGAAGGUGUCCUCGGUGGUCUCCUUGGCAAAGAUGGUGUCCUUGGUGCUCUCCUUGGCAAAGAUGGUCUUGUUGAUAAUCUCCUUGAUAUUCUUGCUGGUCUCCUCGGCAAAGACGGUCUCCUUGGCAAAAAUGGUCUCGUUGGCAGUCUUCUCGUUAGAAAUGGUGGAGAUCUCACAGAGGUGAAAAUUCUGAACAACACCCUUCCCAAAAUAAGUCUGCGCUCCCUGCCAGGCUUUGGGCACCAGGUGGGCUUCAACACCCAGCUGCUGGUGGAGAGCACUAGCGCGCCGGGCAGCGUGCUCUGCGAGCAGGUGGAAGCAGAUGCCGUCAUGCUGGUGCAGGACAAGUGGGCGACUCCGCAGAACGAGGAGGGCUGCAGGACUUCUGACAUAAGCGUCCAUGUGAGACCCAAAGUGCCACUUCUGGAUCAGCCUUUGAAACACCGACUUAGUGAUGCCCUGCGCGAGCUGGGGUGCAGAAUCGUCGGGAGCAGGCUCAGCGCGGUGAGCGCUCUGCUGGGCGCCGGGACCCCUGCGCUCCCGCUCGGGGCGCUGGGAGAUCUGCCCCCCUUCUCCAUCCUCAGCAGCGACGCGAUCCAGCUGGAGCUAAACCUCCCCGCCGGGGACACGGUGGCCUCUGCUCAGGGACCACUCGCUGCCACCCUGCUGCUGGCCACGGGCCACCCGCCGCGGCUCGGCCUCCCCCAGCGCGCCCUCCGUGUCCUGAUGCAGCCGGUCCUGGGGCAAGGAGCCUUCAGCCGCAACAUCACCGGCUCCAUGGUGGGUCACCACGGCGGGUUGGGGCCCUGGUCGCUUUUGGGUGACCCAAGGGUGCUCGUGGGGCCCAGCCCAGCCCAGCACGGGCUGUGCACGACCCCUCCCGGCCCCGACGCCGCUGUCCCCGCAGGUGCCCNNNNNNNNNNNNNNNNNNNNNNNNNNNNNNNNNNNNNNNNNNNNNNNNNNGGGGGGGGGGGGGGGGGGCUGCACCUGGUGCACCCCGACUCCACCUUGUUUUUAUCUUUUGUAGCAUCAACGUGACACGGGCACCCCCGGGACUCAACCUUCUCGGUGUAAGUGCUCACAGCUGGGGACGGCGGCGCUGCGCGAGCGGCCUGAUGGCCAGAGACACUGUGUAGGGAAGGAGAACCAAAAUGCCAAUUUUUCUUCAGUCUCUGUUUCUUCUUCUCUUGGCAGAGGCCAGUUGUUGCCCGCCCUGCCGGUCCCCAGUGCCCUGGGUGUAUGUGUUCACUUGCUGGCAGCGCACGGGGGUGUUGGGGGAGGAAUAAUCGGGAGAAAUGACCCGAAGAGCGUGUCCCUGUGCGUUCCCUCACCCUCAGUCCUGGAAGGGUUUCGCUGAAGGACACUUCCCGGUGUUUGUGUUUCAUGGCUCGGAGCAGCCUGCAGGGACAGAACUGAAUUGAUAAGCAGGAACAAAGCUGGACUGAUGAGCAGGGACAGAGCUGAACUGAUCAGCCUGACCUGGAUGAUUUCAUCCCCGUAAUUGUUGCUCUCGUCUUCAGACCCACGUCUCCUUUCCCCGCAGGUCUCCCCGCUCGCAGGGUGGCUCAAGCGAGUCCUUGAAGCUGCGUAUGUCCCUGCCAUCAACGGUACGGCCGGGCUCUGGGUCCCCUCUUCUUCCAAACUCUCCCCUUUCCCUCUCUGCCCGCGUUCGGGGUCGUCCCCCCCCGUGACGAGGUGCUUCCGCUUGCUCUCGCAGAUGCCCUGAACGUGUCGGUCCCUCUGCCCAACACCCUCAACGCCAGCCUCAGGGAGGCCCAGGUGGACGUCACCGAUGUAAGGAUCCAUGUGCCCCAGCGCGGCCGUCUGGGGAGCGAGGGACGAUCCCCCCCGGGCAGGGCCCUGCCGAGCCAGAGCCCCCCCGGCCACCCCAUUGCCCACGGGCUGCUCAGGGUUUUCCAGGGGCCUGUGUUGGGCGCCCAGGAAAACCACUCCCGGGAUACAGGGAAAAGCUGGUGGAAGUCCGAGUGAGAAAACAGAAUGUUUUUUGUGCCGCUUCUCGCAGGCAGACGAUUCUCUCCACCAAACGGCUCUGAAGGGAUCCUGCUCGGGAGGGGCCCUGGCCCAGCUCAGGGGCUGAGGCAGGCGCCGUGCCCGGCCCCUCUCUGCUCCUUCCAGCUCUGUUUUCCCUCAAGCGACCCCCUGCGCUGCCGCUGUGGCCCGGGAGGGACAUGGGGACACAGGUGACCGUCUCCGGUCCGUCCUGGCACGGCGGCUGGGCUGUGGGUGUUGGGGGGUUCUGCGGUCCCUCCUCACGUCCGCAGCCAGGAAGCUGAGCUCUUCCUUAGGCAUAAGGGUUGCUCUCAUAUUGCUCCUUCAAUAAAAUCUCUGUCUGUCUCA